RNAcentral lists this transfer RNA (67 nucleotides) under Marmota monax (woodchuck). RNAcentral's name for it is "tRNA.Gly". Lineage: Eukaryota; Metazoa; Chordata; Mammalia; Rodentia; Sciuridae. The record is from RNAcentral.
GGUUGUGACUCAGCGGUAGACCAUUCGGCUACCAUGUGCGAGGUCCUGAGUUCAAUCCUCAGCACCA